RNAcentral lists this small nucleolar RNA (84 nucleotides) under Fundulus heteroclitus (mummichog). RNAcentral's name for it is "Small nucleolar RNA U2-30 (ENSFHEG00000006884.1)". The record is from RNAcentral. Lineage: Eukaryota; Metazoa; Chordata; Actinopteri; Cyprinodontiformes; Fundulidae.
GAGCGAUGAUGUGAAACCUUAGAACCUAAAGCGUGUUUUAAGCUAACGCGCUUCAUGAGGGUUCCUACACUUGAACUGAGCUCA